CUCUCAUCCCAUAAGGGAGUAAGGUCACCCGCAGAACACGGGUUAAUAGGUUCUAGAUGGAAGUCCAGUAAUGGGCGAAGUCGAGGAAUACUAACAGACCGAGGGCUUGUCCUA
Molecule: ribosomal RNA, 114 nt
Filed under: Leptolyngbya sp. FACHB-16
Lineage: Bacteria; Bacillati; Cyanobacteriota; Cyanophyceae; Leptolyngbyales; Leptolyngbyaceae
Also listed under: 4 other names
Description: Bacterial large subunit ribosomal RNA
Rfam family: Bacterial large subunit ribosomal RNA
Source: Rfam by way of RNAcentral